Molecule: small RNA, 137 nt
Filed under: Klebsiella quasipneumoniae
Lineage: Bacteria; Pseudomonadati; Pseudomonadota; Gammaproteobacteria; Enterobacterales; Enterobacteriaceae
Description: RtT sRNA
Rfam family: RtT RNA
About the family: This family represents a bacterial cis-regulatory element known as RtT RNA.
Source: RNAcentral
AUAUUCUCCGCCGGGGGGGGGAUGAGAACCCCCGACCGGGGUUCGACAACUGGCGCAGCCAGUUGGACAGACCGCGAGCCCGCGAGCGGGCUGCCCCGCAGGGGCGAGCGAAGCGAGUCAAUCCCCCCUCACCGCCA